Molecule: long non-coding RNA, 915 nt
Filed under: Mus musculus (house mouse)
Lineage: Eukaryota; Metazoa; Chordata; Mammalia; Rodentia; Muridae
Description: RIKEN cDNA A930001C03 gene, transcript variant 2 (A930001C03Rik)
Source: RNAcentral
UCUUCUCCCGCAACCUGGGACGCGUUCAUCCCUGGCUGGCGGACGGCGGUGCGCGGAGCAGCAGGCGUUGCAGAAACUGAGGCCCCGAGAGUACAGUGACUUCUCAUACUGCAGUCUGGACAGAGGAUCCAAGAUGGCUGAUGAGAAAUCCCCCAGGAGGUGGGGCAGCCCUGGUGUUCACAGCUCCAGCUGGCUAUGGAGAGGGCAUCGCUGGAUAGAACUGAGAUGGUGCCAGGCUCCUGAGGCUCUGAUGCCCAACCUGGCCUGCUCUGGCUGUUAGUUUCGCCGGACUGGAUGCCACAUGGACACAGGCCUGCGUAGUGUGGCCAGCAUCUGGUUCCAAUGUGUGGUGCCCAUGCCACUGACCCCUGGCCCAAUGAUGACAUGGCCCACGUUGUCCCCACGGCCGUCGCUGCUGCUCUCAGCCACUGUCACCCGGAGAGACAGGUCCUGGGAAGAAGGUGACAUGAAAGAUUGGGACCAGGAGCAGCUAAAGGGUUCUCCCUGGCUCCAAGGCUCCAAGGCCCUGUGAGGUGCAUACAGCUAUUUGAAUCUUCCCAUCUGGCUUGGGAGGAGAGACUUGUCCUAGUUACUUCCAGAUGGAUAAGCCAGCUAUGAUGUGACCUCGCUAAGUGCUAAAAAGUGACAGUCCCAGCAGGAUUCAAAAUCCAUCUCUCAGUUCUCUGUCCCUCGACAUUUUUUUCUUUAAGAUUUAUUUUUGAGUUUGAAAAGAUGGGUCAGCAAUUAAACACACUUGCUGUUCUUGCAGAGAACCUUGGUUUGAGUCCCAGCAUCUGUACAUCGACUCAGUCACCUGAGGCUAUCUGAACUCUCUCUGUGGGCGUCUGGCAUGCAUGUUAUGCACAUACAUACAUGCAAGCAAAAUGCUCAAACACUUAAAAUAAUAAAAACCUU